CACAUCACCAUUGAAUAGUUUGUGACACUCUGAGCGGGCUUUAUCCUCAAAUCAAAAGUUUUUAUUUUAUUUUUUAAAUAAGUCGUAGCCAAUCAGACGUCUAUAACAAUUUCGGCCAAUCACAAUUGGGCCACAGUCCGUUACACUGGCGCGAAAUGUAUGAGAAGAUGGCGAACGUCAAGGCAGCAGGAGCUAACGUUAGCGCUCACCAAGAGUAAGUAUAAGUUGUUGAAUUUGAUAACAUGCACGAACUAUUAAUGAUUAAAUGCAGUUUAGUACUGACGUUUGUUCAGUAAGUUGGAUAAAUACUUAAUUCAUCUUCAGUAAUUUUGGUUCACAUGUUAAAAUGACAGUCAAAAUGAGUGUGCUGCCUGACUUAAAGAUGCUGCAGCCAGAUAACUUUAUUACAACAUGACAUUAUUAUUAUUAUUAUUUUUUUAUAUAUAACGUUAAUAUCCCCUUGUCUGUCUUGCUAUGACACAGAAACGUUUCAGAACGCUGGCCCCUCUUUGCCAUAAGGGAGGGGUCGUAACGUAGGCUAAUCGACAAGGAAUGCUUUUUACAUUUGAUUUUUUAAAAUACAAUCACGGUUUUUUUUCUAAAAUGCAAACUCAAGUUUUUUGUAUGCAAGUGAAAAUGUAUUAAGAAUGCUGUGCAAUGUGUUUUUGUCUUUGUUCUAGAAAAAAAAACACUUUAGAAAGUUCUGAUGACGAAACAGACAUUGAGAUGAAGCGACAAUAUGAAAAAGCAAAAAGACAAAAAAAAGUUGCAAAAGAGAGGAUCCUCACUCAGUUGAAGGAUACACUGAGGAAACCACUCCACUCCACUCCAUGCAGAACCAAUCCAUUACAUAGUGAGGAGGAAGUUGAAUCCGAAACGGUGGACACAAACGUGGAUUUGUUCAAUUACCCAGGGAAUUCUCAAUCAACCAGACAAAAAAAGGUUGGAAAGGAGAGGGUCCUCACUCAGCUGAAGGAUACACUGAGGAAACCACUCCACUCUGAUCCACGCAGAACCAACCCGUUACAUAGUGAGGAGGAAGUUCAAGCCGAAACCGUGGACACAAAUGUGGAUUUGUUCGAUUACCCAGAGAAUUUUCAACCAACCGAUACCUUAGAUGCUGCUGAGGCAAGUGGAGAGAGCGUGGAACAGCCAUUAUUUGUCAGUGGUGAAGUGUUGAAAGCUUUGAAAGAAAUUCCCACCUUAGUGCAGUGUGUCAAGGAACUAAUAUCCUCAAUGAACACAGGGAUCGAUACAGCAAGCACAAGCUCAGGGUCCUCCAGCUCAGCCCAAGAGAUGAUUUCUCUGGGCAACAUGGCUGUCCAAGUCAACAAAACCUGCUUUAGGAGAUUGAAUAGGAGCAGAAUGUCCCUGUUCACUCAAGAGUUAGCUGUUUUGUUGUUUGGGAGGGAGGUUCUGGGUUCAUCUAGCCUCACUGGGAAUAGGUCCCAAAAAAAG
Cyprinus carpio carpio is the source of this 1458-nucleotide long non-coding RNA. The record is from Ensembl. NCBI's taxonomy places the organism in Eukaryota, Metazoa, Chordata, Actinopteri, Cypriniformes, Cyprinidae.